RNAcentral lists this ribosomal RNA (322 nucleotides) under uncultured eukaryote. RNAcentral describes it as "partial 18S ribosomal RNA". It matches the Rfam family "Eukaryotic small subunit ribosomal RNA", at positions 1470 to 1796 of the family's 1831-position model. The record is from RNAcentral.
CCCUUAGAUGUUCUGGGCCGCACGCGUGCUACACUGAGCGGAUCAGCGGGUCAGGUUGCGCGAAAGUGUUUCCUAAUCUUUAAAUCCGCUCGUGAUGGGGAUUGACGGUUGCAAUUUUCCGUCAUGAACGAGGAAUACCUUGUAAGCGCGGGUCAUCAUCCCGCGCUGAAUACGUCCCUGCCCUUUGUACACACCGCCCGUCGCUCCUACCGAUUGAGUGGUCCGGUGAGGCUUUGGGAUCUGAGCGGAAAGAGCGUUUCGCUGUUUCUGCCCGGAAAACUCAGUCGAACCAUAUCAUUUAGAGGAAGGAGAAGUCGUAACA